UACGUAGGGGGCAAGCGUUGUCCGGAAUCAUUGGGCGUAAAGAGCGUGUAGGCGGCCAGAAAAGUCCGCUGUGAAAACUCGAGGCUCAACUUCGAGCUGUCGGUGGAAACUUUCUGGCUAGAGUCCGGAAGAGGAGAAUGGAAUUCCUGGUGUAGCGGUGAAAUGCGCAGAUAUCAGGAAGAACACCCGUGGCGAAGGCGGUUCUCUGGGACGGUACUGACGCUGAGAAGCGAAAGCAUGGGGAGCGAACAGG
RNAcentral lists this ribosomal RNA (253 nucleotides) under uncultured bacterium. Its description in RNAcentral is "partial 16S ribosomal RNA". It matches the Rfam family "Bacterial small subunit ribosomal RNA", at positions 524 to 776 of the family's 1533-position model. The record is from RNAcentral.